RNAcentral lists this ribosomal RNA (2896 nucleotides) under Clostridioides difficile. RNAcentral's name for it is "bacterial LSU rRNA". It matches the Rfam family "Bacterial large subunit ribosomal RNA". The record is from RNAcentral. Lineage: Bacteria; Bacillati; Bacillota; Clostridia; Peptostreptococcales; Peptostreptococcaceae.
UCAAGUUAUUAAGGGUGCAGGGCGGAUGCCUUGGCACUAGGAGCCGAUGAAGGACGUGAUAAGCUGCGAUAAGCUUCGGGGAGUUGCACGUAAACUUUGAUCCGAAGAUUUCCGAAUGAGGAAACUCACUUAGAGUAAUGUCUAAGUAUCAUUAAGUGAAUACAUAGCUUAAUGAGGGGAACUCAGGGAACUGAAACAUCUAAGUACCUGAAGGAAGAGAAAGAAAUUCGAUUCCGUAAGUAGCGGCGAGCGAACGCGGAUUAGCCCAAACCAAUGAAGUUUUCUUUAUUGGGGUUGCGGACAUAUCAUAACGAAGAGGUAUCGUAAUUGAAGAGGUUUGGAAAGACCCACCACAGAAGGUAAUAGUCCUGUAUGUUAAACGAGAAGACUUUAGAUAUGAUCCAGAGUACCACGGGACACGUGAAACCCUGUGGGAAGCAGGAGGGACCACCCUCCAAGGCUAAAUACUACCUAGUGACCGAUAGCGUAUAGUACCGUGAGGGAAAGGUGAAAAGAACCCCGGGAGGGGAGUGAAAUAGAACCUGAAACCCUGCACUUACAAGCUGUGGAAGCACAUUUCUUGUGUGACCGCGUACUUUUUGUAGAACGGGCCAACGAGUUACGUUAAGUAGCAAGGUUAAGCACUUAAGGUGCGGAGCCGUAGCGAAAGCGAGUUUUAACUGAGCGUUCAGUUACUUGACGUAGACCCGAAACCGGGCGACCUACCCAUGAGCAGGAUGAAGCGAAAGUAAAAUUUCGUGGAGGUCCGAACCCACGAGCGUUGAAAAGCUCGGGGAUGACUUGUGGGUAGCGGUGAAAUUCCAAUCGAGCCCGGAGAUAGCUGGUUCUCCCCGAAAUAGCUUUAGGGCUAGCCUCAAGGUGAGAGAUACGGAGGUAGAGCACUGAAUGUCCUAGGGGGUAUUGCACCUACCGAAGACUAUCAAACUCCGAAUGCCGUCAUCUUAUACUUGGGAGUCAGACUGUGGGUGAUAAGAUUCAUAGUCGAAAGGGCAACAGCCCAGAUCGUCAGCUAAGGUCCCUAAAUGUAAGUUAAGUGGUAAAGGAUGUGGGAUUGCACAGACAACCAGGAUGUUGGCUUAGAAGCAGCCACUCAUUCAAAGAGUGCGUAAUAGCUCACUGGUCGAGUGAUCCUGCGCCGAAGAUUUCCGGGGCUAAAACUUACUACCGAAGCUACGGCAUCAGUAAUGAUGGGUAGGGGAGCUUCCCAUACGGGUUGAAGCAUGACCGUAAGGACAUGUGGACAGUAUGGGAGUGAGAAUGUUGGCAUGAGUAGCGAGAUGUGGGUGAGAAUCCCACAGGCCGUAAACCCAAGGUUUCCAGGGGAAGGUUCGUCCGCCCUGGGUUAGUCGGGACCUAAGCUGAGGCCGAAAGGCGUAGGUGAUGGACAACAGGUUGAUAUUCCUGUACUACCGAUAACCGUUUGAGAGAAGGGAUGACACAGUAGGAUAAGCUAAGCACACUGUUGGUUAUGUGUGCCCAAGCAUUGAGGCAGUCAAAGUAGGCAAAUCCGCUUUGAUAAUGCUGGGAUGUGAUGGGGAGCGAAAUUUAGUAGCGAAGUAGCUGAUUUCACACUGUCAAGAAAAGUCUCUAUCGAGGUUAAAGGUACCCGUACCGCAAACCGACACAGGUGGGUGAGGAGAGUAUCCUAAGGCCAGCGAGAGAACUGUUGUUAAGGAACUCGGCAAAAUGACCCCGUAACUUAGGGAUAAGGGGUGCCACCAUCAGGUGGCCGCAGAGAAUAGGCCCAAGCGACUGUUUACCAAAAACAUAGGUUUCUGCUAAGUCGCAAGACGAUGUAUAGGAGCUGACGCCUGCCCGGUGCUGGAAGGUUAAGGGGAUCUGUUAGAGCAAUCGAAGCAGUGAACUUAAGCCCCAGUAAACGGCGGCCGUAACUAUAACGGUCCUAAGGUAGCGAAAUUCCUUGUCGGGUAAGUUCCGACCCGCACGAAAGGCGUAACGAUUUGGGCACUGUCUCAACAACAGACUCGGUGAAAUUGUAAUUCCGGUGAAGAUGCCGGAUACCUGCGACAGGACGGAAAGACCCCAUGGAGCUUUACUGUAGCUUGACAUUGGGUCUUGGUACUACAUGUACAGGAUAGGUGGGAGGCUUUGAAACCAGGACGCCAGUUUUGGCGGAGCCAUCCUUGGGAUACCACCCUUGUAGUACUGGGACUCUAACCAUAGACCAUGAAUCUGGUCUUGGGACACUGUCAGGUGGGCAGUUUGACUGGGGCGGUCGCCUCCCAAAAGGUAACGGAGGCGCUCAAAGGUUCUCUCAGUACGGUCGGAAAUCGUACGUAGAGUGUAAAGGCAAAAGAGAGCUUGAUUGCAAGACAUACAGGUCGAGCAAGGAUGAAAAUCGGACUUAGUGAUCCGGUGGUUCUGCGUGGAAGGGCCAUCGCUCAACGGAUAAAAGCUACCCUGGGGAUAACAGGCUUAUCUCCCCCAAGAGUCCACAUCGACGGGGAGGUUUGGCACCUCGAUGUCGGCUCAUCACAUCCUGGGGCUGUAGUAGGUCCCAAGGGUUGGGCUGUUCGCCCAUUAAAGUGGUACGCGAGCUGGGUUCAGAACGUCGUGAGACAGUUCGGUCCCUAUCCGUCGCAGGCGUAGGAAAUUUGAGAAGACCUGUCCUUAGUACGAGAGGACCGGGAUGGACGUACCUCUGGUGUACCAGUUGUUCUGCCAAGGGCAUGGCUGGGUAGCUAUGUACGGAAUGGAUAAGCGCUGAAAGCAUCUAAGCGCGAAGCCAACUUCAAGAUAAGAUUUCCCACCGCAAGGGUAAGACCCCAGAAAGACUAUCUGGUUGAUAGGUCGAAGGUGUAAGUGCAGCAAUGUAUUUAGCUUAUCGAUACUAAUAGGUCGAGGACUUGACCAA